RNAcentral lists this ribosomal RNA (501 nucleotides) under uncultured bacterium. RNAcentral describes it as "bacterial SSU rRNA". It matches the Rfam family "Bacterial small subunit ribosomal RNA", at positions 25 to 518 of the family's 1533-position model. The record is from RNAcentral.
CAGGAUGAACGCUAGCGACAGGCUUAACACAUGCAAGUCGAGGGGCAGCAUAGAAGUAGCAAUACUUGGUGGCGACCGGCGCACGGGUGAGUAACGCGUAUGCAACCUACCUAUCAGAGGGGAAUAACCCGGCGAAAGUCGGACUAAUACCGCAUAAAACAGGGGCACCGCAUGGUGAUAUUUGUUAAAGAAAUUCGCUGAUAGAUGGGCAUGCGUUCCAUUAGGUAGUUGGUGAGGUAACGGCUCACCAAGCCGACGAUGGAUAGGGGAACUGAGAGGUUGGUCCCCCACACUGGUACUGAGACACGGACCAGACUCCUACGGGAGGCAGCAGUGAGGAAUAUUGGUCAAUGGGCGGGAGCCUGAACCAGCCAAGUCGCCGUGAAGGAAGAAGGAUCUAUGGUUCGUAAACUUCUUUUGCAGGGGAAUAAAGUGCAGGACGUGUCCUGUUUUGUAUGUACCCUGAGAAUAAGGAUCGGCUAACUCCGUGCCAGCCGCCGC